UGGGGAAUAUUGCACAAUGGGCGAAAGCCUGAUGCAGCGACGCCGCGUGAGGGAUGACGGCCUUCGGGUUGUAAACCUCUUUCAGCAGGGAAGAAGCGAAAGUGACGGUACCUGCAGAAGAAGCGCCGGCUAACUACGUGCCAGCAGCCGCGGUAAUACGUAGGGCGCAAGCGUUGUCCGGAAUUAUUGGGCGUAAAGAGCUCGUAGGCGGUUAGUCGCGUCUGCUGUGAAAACUCGAGGCUCAACCUCGGGCUUGCAGUGGGUACGGGCUGACUAGAGUGCGGUAGGGGUGACUGGAAUUCCUGGUGUAGCGGUGGAAUGCGCAGAUAUCAGGAGGAACACCGAUGGCGAAGGCAGGUCACUGGGCCGCAACUGACGCUGAGGAGCGAAAGCAUGGGGAGCGAACAGGAUUAGAUACCCUGGCAGUCCAUGCCGUAAACGUUGGGCACUAGGUGUGGGGUCCAUUUCCACGGAUUCCGUGCCGCAGCAAACGCAUUAAGUGCCCCGCCUGGGGAGUACGGCCGCAAGGCUAAAACUCAAAUGAAUUGACGGGGUCAUAGCUG
Molecule: ribosomal RNA, 563 nt
Filed under: uncultured bacterium
Lineage: Bacteria
Description: partial 16S ribosomal RNA
Rfam family: Bacterial small subunit ribosomal RNA
Source: RNAcentral